RNAcentral lists this ribosomal RNA (713 nucleotides) under uncultured bacterium. Its description in RNAcentral is "bacterial SSU rRNA". It matches the Rfam family "Bacterial small subunit ribosomal RNA", at positions 57 to 745 of the family's 1533-position model. The record is from RNAcentral.
GCAGUCGAACGAGACUUUUUAUUUGAUGCUUGCAUCUUUUAAAAAGUUGAGUGGCGAACGGGUGAGUAACACGUGGGUAACCUGCCUUAAAGUGGGGGAUAACACUUGGAAACAGGUGCUAAUACCGCAUAACCAUCAAAACCACCUGGUUUUGAUGUUAAAGAUGGUUCUGCUAUCGCUUUAAGAUGGACCCGCGGCGUAUUAGCUAGUUGGUGAGGUAACGGCUUACCAAGGCAAUGAUACGUAGCCGAACUGAGAGGUUGAUCGGCCACAUUGGGACUGAGACACGGCCCAAACUCCUACGGGAGGCAGCAGUAGGGAAUCUUCCACAAUGGACGAAAGUCUGAUGGAGCAACGCCGCGUGAGUGAAGAAGGUUUUCGGAUCGUAAAACCCUGUUGUCAGAGAAGAACGUGUGUGAGAGUAACUGUUCACGCAGUGACGGUAUCUGACCAGAAAGUCACGGCUAACUACGUGCCAGCAGCCGCGGUAAUACGUAGGUGGCAAGCGUUGUCCGGAUUUAUUGGGCGUAAAGGGAACGCAGGCGGUCUUUUAAGUCUGAUGUGAAAGCCUUCGGCUUAACCGAAGUCGGGCAUUGGAAACUGGGAGACUUGAGUGCAGAAGAGGAGAGUGGAACUCCAUGUGUAGCGGUGAAAUGCGUAGAUAUAUGGAAGAACACCAGUGGCGAAAGCGGCUCUCUGGUCUGUAACUGACG